Molecule: long non-coding RNA, 1965 nt
Organism: Magallana angulata
Lineage: Eukaryota; Metazoa; Mollusca; Bivalvia; Ostreida; Ostreidae
Exons: 2
Source: RefSeq, a predicted model, not a curated record
UUUUUUGGGUUUUUUUAUUUCACAAAUUGAAUGGAGUACAUGUAUCUAUUAUCAAUUCCAUAUAUUUGAUAAAAUAUACAUAGGAGGUAAAAUUUAAAAUUCUGAAAUAAAAAUUUGAAAAAUUUCGACUUUUUUAGCAAAAAAUCACCUAAAUUCUGCUAAAACUGCCAACAAAGGAUAUAAUGUGGUGUUCAACAAUCAGCAUUAAUCAGCACUAGCCCUGACACACCUGCGUUUCCUUGUCAAAUUUUGUCACAUUGUGACUGUCGGUAUGAAGUGUCAGCUAUUUAGAAUCGAGUGUAUAUGAAUGUGUAGUUACCUGGAAGUCUCCAAAUUUCACGGCCUUAUCUUUUCACAAACAAUUUGAUAUUUCUUAUCUAAUAAAAAUGAUAUUAUAUAUAUAUAAAUAUCAAAACAUUUGUACAAAUAGCGCAGAGCAACAUAAUUUUUUUCUUAUUAUUUGACAGAUAUUUAUUGACGUGAUAAAUCAAUAAGCUUGUUAGAAUCAUAUUACAAAUUUCAUUUUCCCCCUAAAAAUUACUUUUUUAAAAAUAAUGAUAAAAUUGCCGUUCAACUUCCAGAAAAAAAGCUUUUCUGUAGAGAAACCCAAGGUAGAUAACUGCACAGUGCUAGUUCACCAGUGGGAUUUGCACGAGUCGUAAAAUAGUUGUCAAGAAAAGGGGGUGUAUAAAUUAGAGUUACAUUAUAAAGCUUCCGAAAAGGCAUCUGCAAAUGCAUUGAUAAAGAGUAGAUAAGCUAUAAAAUCAUUAAAUUAACACAUAAAGCUAGAGGAAAACACGAAAAUCUGUCCUUUAAUGUGAUGAUACACGAUUGUCUUUUAUAGUGGCUAUAAUUAGAAAAUAGUGCAUUCCCUACGAGGUAAUCCCCAAGUUUGACGUCACAUUCUCCUAUUAUGAGAGGAUCCCUGACGUCAUAUGUAAUUAAAUAUAGAUGACAAUCGAUGGCUUUGGAAGUAAACGAUGGGCAAUUUUUGAAUGCUGCAAGAAAAAAAAACGUAUGCAGUUUGCAAAAUCGAUCCGUCCGACGUAAAACUCAAUUGAUUUUUGCCUUCGCUAUUGGCUACACGAACGUAAUCUUCUGCGUCAGUGAGCAAAGUGCGUGAGCAAUCUCAGUCACUAGAAAAUAACUUCAAAAUGUAUAUAUAAGGAACUUUUCUUAGCCGCCGCAAACAAUUAAAUAUUUAUGAAAGAUUUUGAUGCAAAGAAUGACUUUAAAAUUUAAUUUGCAGCAUCCGAAAGAGGAUGGAUUCUUUGGGGAGAGAGUUGUCACCUACAGGUAUUCAAAUGCUUACAUCUGCAUAAUGACCAAAGAUGAAAAACACAAUUUGGAUCGCACAUAGCAGGACCCUCUAUCUCUUCUUACAAAAUGUCACAGAACACCCUCAUCCAAUAUGGUAAUUAGGGGUUUGUUAGCAUUUGGAUGCAACCUUUUGCUGACAUUAAACAAAAUGUCAAAAUUACAAGUUAAGCAUACCAGGCUCCGAUCGUUGCACAAUAUAUAACGGGUAUUGUUGCAGAGAAGGAUAUUGUUUUAUUUUCAAAUGCGAGCAUACAAUGUGCAAAUUUUGUGAUUUUCCCCCAAACAAAUAAAAAUGGAUGGAUUAAAGGUGUUGUCUCUUCGGCGUCAUGAAUUAACAGUAACUCCACGUGGGUGUUUUGUGAGGAUAUCGUUCAUAUAAAGAAAAUGUGAUUUUGUUUGAAUUUCUUUCCUCGAUGGAAGAUUCGGAGAACACUCAGUGGGAAUUAUCAUCUUGGUUUCAGUGAGCAGGGUGAAUGACCAUAUUAGAUUUGUAGAUUAUAUAUUUGGACCAUAUUAGAUUUGUAGAUUAAAUAUUUGGGACCAUAUUAGAUUUGUAGAUUAUAUAUUUGGUACCACAAUGAUUGUUUACAGUUGUGCAAAUGCAAGACAAUUUCGAAUGAACAUUAAAUAUGUUAUAAGAUACAA